CGUGGAGCGGUUGCUGUUGAGAACAUGGAGGAAGAUCUCGCCCCCGUGGCUGCUGAGCAUGUGACUGAUCACCUUUGAACCUGACUUCUUGGGCAGCUCCAACAGCACAGAGCGACCUGAGGUUGGUGAGCGUCUCUGUGAUGCAGGAGCUCGACGUCAUAAUUGGCUGACGUGUUGGCGUGCUGCUCCUCCUGUCCAUCAGUGGGGAAACGACAAACAAAGAAAGCAUAGCAACGCAACAGUGGAAGGAGCACCGACCUUCAUGGGGAUGUUGGUUAUGGUGGUCGAGGCCAAGUCAAAGUGCUGCUGGACCAGAAUGUUGAGCUUGGUGGCGAGGUGCCUCCCAGCACGAAC
Molecule: long non-coding RNA, 354 nt
Organism: Cynoglossus semilaevis (tongue sole)
Lineage: Eukaryota; Metazoa; Chordata; Actinopteri; Pleuronectiformes; Cynoglossidae
Exons: 3
Source: RefSeq, a predicted model, not a curated record